UAAACGGCUCUUUUAAGAGCCAUUCACCACCAGAAAAAGAGCUGG
Non-coding RNA from Ophiophagus hannah (king cobra), 45 nucleotides. Lineage: Eukaryota; Metazoa; Chordata; Lepidosauria; Squamata; Elapidae. The record is from Rfam.